UGGCGACCGGCGUACGGGUGAGUAACGCGUAUCCAACCUGCCCUUUACUAUGGGACAGCCCGUCGAAAGGCGGAUUAAUACCGUAUGUUGUCAUGUUGAUGCAUAUUUUCAUGACCAAAGGCUUCGGCCGGUAAAGGAUGGGGAUGCGUCUGAUUAGCUUGCCGGCGGGGUAACGGCCCACCGGGGCGACGAUCAGUAGGGGUUCUGAGAGGAAGGUCCCCCACAUUGGAACUGAGACACGGCCCAAACUCCUACGGGAGGCAGCAG
RNAcentral lists this ribosomal RNA (267 nucleotides) under uncultured bacterium. RNAcentral's name for it is "partial 16S ribosomal RNA". It matches the Rfam family "Bacterial small subunit ribosomal RNA", at positions 89 to 354 of the family's 1533-position model. The record is from RNAcentral.